AGCCCCGGAGCCCUUGUGGGGCUCUUUUUCAAACUUGCAUUUUGAUGUAUCUCACUUCGGGGCUU
RNAcentral lists this transfer RNA (65 nucleotides) under Anolis alvarezdeltoroi (Alvarez del Toros anole). RNAcentral's name for it is "tRNA-Cys". Lineage: Eukaryota; Metazoa; Chordata; Lepidosauria; Squamata; Anolidae. The record is from RNAcentral.